Molecule: ribosomal RNA, 497 nt
Filed under: uncultured bacterium
Lineage: Bacteria
Description: partial 16S ribosomal RNA
Rfam family: Bacterial small subunit ribosomal RNA
Source: RNAcentral
GAUGAACGCUGGCGGCGUGCCUAAUACAUGCAAGUCGAGCGAACAGACGAGGAGCUUGCUCCUCUGACGUUAGCGGCGGACGGGUGAGUAACACGUGGAUAACCUACCUAUAAGACUGGGAUAACUUCGGGAAACCGGAGCUAAUACCGGAUAAUAUAUUGAACCGCAUGGUUCAAUAGUGAAAGACGGUUUUGCUGUCACUUAUAGAUGGAUCCGCGCCGCAUUAGCUAGUUGGUAAGGUAACGGCUAACCAAGGCAACGAUGCGUAGCCGACCUGAGAGGGUGAUCGGCCACACUGGAACUGAGACACGGUCCAGACUCCUACGGGAGGCAGCAGUAGGGAAUCUUCCGCAAUGGGCGAAAGCCUGACGGAGCAACGCCGCGUGAGUGAUGAAGGUCUUCGGAUCGUAAAACUCUGUUAUUAGGGAAGAACAAAUGUGUAAGUAACUAUGCACGUCUUGACGGUACCUAAUCAGAAAGCCACGGCUAACUACGUG